This 491-nucleotide ribosomal RNA is filed under the name uncultured bacterium. RNAcentral's name for it is "partial 16S ribosomal RNA". It matches the Rfam family "Bacterial small subunit ribosomal RNA", at positions 29 to 506 of the family's 1533-position model. The record is from RNAcentral.
AGUGAACGCUGGCGGUAGGCCUAACACAUGCAAGUCGAACGGCAGCACAGUAAGAGCUUGCUCUUACGGGUGGCGAGUGGCGGACGGGUGAGGAAUACAUCGGAAUCUACUUUUUCGUGGGGGAUAACGUAGGGAAACUUACGCUAAUACCGCAUACGACCUACGGGUGAAAGCAGGGGAUCUUCGGACCUUUCGCGAUUGAAUGAGCCGAUGUCGGAUUAGCUAGUUGGCGGGGUAAAGGCCCACCAAGGCGACGAUCCGUAGCUGGUCUGAGAGGAUGAUCAGCCACACUGGAACUGAGACACGGUCCAGACUCCUACGGGAGGCAGAAGUGGGGAAUAUUGGACAAUGGGCGCAAGCCUGAUCCAGCCAUACCGCGUGGGUGAAGAAGGCCUUCGGGUUGUAAAGCCCUUUUGUUGGGAAAGAAAAGCAGCAGGUUAAUACCCCGCUGUUCUGACGGUACCCAAAGAAUAAGCACCGGCUAACUUCGU